GUGCUGCCACAGGAGCUAUCUCUCAGAGCAAGAAGCGCCUUAUGGCAGAAGAGCAAUUUUAACAACCCCAGAACCAGAGGAGAGCGAGUGCUGCCAGUGCUGCAGGUGAGGGUGACUCGGCCAUAAAAAAAAUGGAACCCUCUUUUUCUGCCUGUCAAGCUGCUCUCCACACCCUGGCCUGGCACAUGGCCUGUGCCCACUGCUCCAUGCUUCCCCUGAAUGGAGGAAAAGCCUCUCCAGAUGUGACUGUGCCCAUCACAACAUGGCUGGGAUGCUUCAGCUGAGAGCUGAAAAUCCAUCACAACCCCCAGAGCACAGGGCACUGCCUCCAAUCCCUGCACCUGUGCUGUGAGAGUUCUCCAGACAGCACCAACAGAAGGGACAAAACAUCAAAAGCUGGAGCAGAAGGGCCCUGAAGGUGGUUCUAGCAGCUUGUUUUAAGCCCAGCCUGCUGCCUUGCCUUCCUUUGGCUCUCCCCCUCCUUGGAAUGGGAGAGAACAUCAGGACUCCUAUUGGAGAGAGACAAAUGCUUUUGGUGGUGACACUGGGUGACCUCUGGGAAUGUUUGUGGGAAGGAAGAGGAAAGAGAGCAGAAGGAAACAAUGGACCAGGAAACACAGCUGGAAGUCAAACAGAAUGGCAAGUGCUGGACUGAACUCAGCCCCAUUCAGUGGGAUUAUGAAAACCUGGAAUUGCUGUAAUGCACUGAGUCCAUCCCAAAAAAUCAUCAGAUUCCCAGGUGCUGCGAGGGGUUUUGAGAGGGGCUGAGGGUUGGUGGUGCAAGUUCAGGAACCUGCAGGUCAUGACAAGGGUCUGGAGUGACAGAUCAAGGGGGAACAGCUUCCCAGUGACAGACUGGAGGCACAGAUCAGACAUCAGGAAAACUCUGGGAGGGUGGCAGGCCCUGGCACAGGUUGCCCAGGGCAGCUGGAAAUGUCCAAGGCCAGGUUGGACAGGGUUUGGAGCAGCCCGGUCUGGGGGCUGGACUGAGUGGCCUUUAAGCUCCUUUCCAACACAAAGCAUUCUAAGGUUUAUGAUUCCAUGGCUCAGGGCCAUCAGCUCCUUCCCUUGCUGGGGCGAUCCUCAGGCAGGGGAUCAGGAGCUGCCUCUGCUGCUCCCAACUGCACAAGGGCUCCAGCCACAGUGUUCCACAUCACAGCAGAGCCAACAAUACCAGCUUUCUGCUGGUUGGUGAAGAACUCUUUCAGAAUGUUUAGGAAGGCUCUGAAUGGAUCUGUAACUGCAUUAAUCCUAAGCAUGAAUUGAAAAUUCAGAAGCUUCUGAGCUUCUCUUUGCAGCUCCCUCCUGGCACACCAGUCCAGCUUCCACUGUCAGCUCCUAAAUUGCUUUUCAGCUGCAGUUGGAAGGGUAUUUACCUACAUUCAAUUACAGACAUGACUUUGGUGUUAUAAAUAAGGCAUGUAGGAACUACUCCAGAAUAAAGUACAGUAUUCAUGAGUAAUACUUUACCUCUGCAAUGCUUCCCAGACCUUGACUGUUGGCUGCUGGAUAAAUACUUGUUCUGCCAACAUUAAUUGGAAACUAAACCAGACUGCAACUGCACAGGCUGUUUUUUUUCUUUAAUACAGCAGAGUGGCAGUAAUGAUUUCACAUCAAGGAGCUCAGUGAAAUGAUAUGCUUUGAAUUUCACCACUGCAGAGUUUAUCAUCAGAGAUUUUUCCAUUUUUAAUG
Long non-coding RNA from Oenanthe melanoleuca, 1692 nucleotides. RefSeq lists it as uncharacterized. NCBI's taxonomy places the organism in Eukaryota, Metazoa, Chordata, Aves, Passeriformes, Muscicapidae. The transcript is spliced from 3 exons. The record is from RefSeq and is a predicted model, not a curated record.